GACGAACGCUGGCGGCGUGCUUAACACAUGCAAGUCGAGCGGUAAGGCCCUUUCGGGGGUACGACGAGCGGCGAACGGGUGAGUAACACGUGGGUGACCUGCCCUCAGCUCUGGGAUAAGCCUGGGAAACCGGGCCUAAUACCGGAUAUGACUCCAUGACGCAUGUUGUGGGGUGGAAAGCCUUGUGCGGCUGAGGAUGGGCCCGCGGCCUAUCAGCUUGUUGGUGGGGUGAUGGCCUACCAAGGCGACGACGGGUAGCCGGCCUGAGAGGGCGACCGGCCACACUGGGACUGAGACACGGCCCAGACUCCUACGGGAGGCAGCAGUGGGGAAUCUUGCGCAAUGGGCGAAAGCCUGACGCAGCGACGCCGCGUGAGGGAUGACGGCCUGGUGUAAC
RNAcentral lists this ribosomal RNA (397 nucleotides) under uncultured bacterium. RNAcentral's name for it is "bacterial SSU rRNA". It matches the Rfam family "Bacterial small subunit ribosomal RNA", at positions 28 to 429 of the family's 1533-position model. The record is from RNAcentral.